Molecule: ribosomal RNA, 481 nt
Filed under: uncultured bacterium
Lineage: Bacteria
Description: SSU rRNA
Rfam family: Bacterial small subunit ribosomal RNA
Source: RNAcentral
AGGACGAACGCUGGCGGCGUGCUUAACACAUGCAAGUCGAGCGGUAAGGCCCUUCGGGGUACACGAGCGGCGAACGGGUGAGUAACACGUGAGCAAUCUGCCCUUCACUUUGGGAUAACCCCCGGAAACGGGAGCUAAUACCGAAUAUGACCCUGCCGUGCAUGUGGUGGGGUGGAAAGUUCUGGCGGUGGAGGAUGAGCUCGCGGCCUAUCAGCUUGUUGGUGGGGUAAUGGCCUACCAAGGCUUCGACGGGUAGCCGGCCUGAGAGGGUGACCGGCCACACUGGGACUGAGACACGGCCCAGACUCCUACGGGAGGCAGCAGUGGGGAAUAUUGGACAAUGGGCGAAAGCCUGAUCCAGCAACGCCGCGUGAGGGAUGACGGCCUUCGGGUUGUAAACCGUCUUUCAGCACAGACGAAGCGAAAGUGACGGUAUGUGCAGAAGAAGCACCGGCCAACUACGUGCCAGCAGCCGCGGUAA